CGGGCGGCGUGCUUAUACAUGCAGUCGAGCGGACAGAAGGGAGCUUGCUCCCGGAUGUUAGCGGCGGACGGGUGAGUAACACGUGGGUAACCUGCCUGUAAGACUGGGAUAACUCCGGGAAACCGGAGCUAAUACCGGAUAGUUCCUUGAACCGCAUGGUUCAAGGAUGAAAGACGGUUUCGGCUGUCACUUACAGAUGGACCCGCGGCGCAUUAGCUAGUUGGUGAGGUAACGGCUCACCAAGGCGACGAUGCGUAGCCGACCUGAGAGGGUGAUCGGCCACACUGGGACUGAGACACGGCCCAGACUCCUACGGGAGGCAGCAGUAGGGAAUCUUCCGCAAUGGACGAAAGUCUGACGGAGCAACGCCGCGUGAGUGAUGAAGGUUUUCGGAUCGUAAAGCUCUGUUGUUAGGGAAGAACAAGUGCAAGAGUAACUGCUUGCACCUUGACGGUACCUAACCAGAAAGCCACGGCUAACUACGUGCGGCCCCCCGGGUAAA
This 502-nucleotide ribosomal RNA is filed under the name Bacillus pumilus. Its description in RNAcentral is "bacterial SSU rRNA". It matches the Rfam family "Bacterial small subunit ribosomal RNA", at positions 36 to 523 of the family's 1533-position model. The record is from RNAcentral. Lineage: Bacteria; Bacillati; Bacillota; Bacilli; Caryophanales; Bacillaceae.